UUUGCAGAUAAUCCCAAAUUGGGUGGGAAUGUUGGUCUGCUAGAGGGUAGGAAGGCUCUGCAGAGAGAUUUGGACAGGCUGGAUCCAUGGAAUGAGGCCAGUGGUGUGAGGGACAACAAGGUC
Molecule: long non-coding RNA, 123 nt
Organism: Neopelma chrysocephalum (saffron-crested tyrant-manakin)
Lineage: Eukaryota; Metazoa; Chordata; Aves; Passeriformes; Pipridae
Exons: 3
Source: RefSeq, a predicted model, not a curated record